Molecule: long non-coding RNA, 1793 nt
Filed under: Felis catus (domestic cat)
Lineage: Eukaryota; Metazoa; Chordata; Mammalia; Carnivora; Felidae
Description: lncRNA (ENSFCAG00000042023.2)
Source: RNAcentral
AUGCUCAUUUCUGGUUCUGCACAAAAGAGCCACAUUUCCUUUUGGAACCGGGACCAGGAGACAGACAGCAGCAGACAUUGGAAAUUGUUGUGAAGAUUUGAGACUGUGAACGCAAAGGCGGGGCCUAUAGAACGUGCUGGAUAAAGGUCUCUGGGCCAGUCUCUGGAGCCCCGAAAUAAAUGGGCAGAGGGGGCUGCCUGGUAUCGCGUCUUGGCCACCUACCAGCCGGACACCCCAGCACUCUCGCGGCCCUGCUGCCAGCAUGAGACGUGGCUGUGCCGGCCUGAGGAAGGACGAAGAACGCGCAGCCUGCUCGCCCGGUCAGCGCCGUGGAGCUCCUGCACACCCCGAGGGGACUGGAUCCGUGCUUGCUGGCUUCACCCUGGGUUUUCCUUGCUCUUGGUCUCUGCCUCCUGCAAGCCCUCAACUCUGCGCCUGGCCUGCCAAGCAGAGUGCCGCUCCUGGCCUUCUGGGAGGGAGGUCAGCUUUGCCUCUGGCCGCUUCGCAGACCCCUGUCUCCGCCGAGCCACCCACAACGAUUCCAGCGCACAGGAGCUCAGGAGUGUCACACAAAGUGAGAAGUAUAAGCCGCAGUGACCUUUUCUCCAGAGGAGGCCGGCAGACAAAGCCUGCAGCUCAGGAAACGAGACCCAAUGCUGUUUCCAGGCGGAGUCUCACGGGCCACGUUUGUCUGAGGUGUUCAGCCGAGGGGGAGUCCGGCGGGGGGGGGGGGGGGGGGGGCCGGGCAGCAAGGCUGGGGACGUGCGUGUGCGCUGGGUUGGGAAGAAUGUGAGGGCGUGGCUGUCGUGGUGAGACGGGGUGGUUAAGGGCUGUCGAAGGGCAUGUGGGCAGAUGAGUCGGGGGCUGUGUCUCCCCAGGGGUGGGAGCUGAGAAUCCCGGGCGUGUGGGUGAGCAGGCGUGGGGGAGCCGAGGCCCUCCCGUCUCCCUGGUGCCGGCUUUUCCCCGCAGAAGCCACUCGUGGCUCCCUCAGGCUCCCAGUAGCCACAGAAAUACGUGGAGUCUGUAAUGGCCAAGGGGGUGUAGGAGGCAUGAACGUAAUGGAAAGAACACUAGGCUGGUAGUGAGGAACCCUGAGUUCAAAUUCUGCUGAAAUAACUGAGACUCAGACGGGGUCACUGUCUUGUUUAAUGUCACACAGCAUAUGAGCUGGCAAGGGAGAUUUGAACUCAGACGGACUUCUGGGAUUAAAUGACACUCCUAAAAGCAAAGCGCAUCAAAAGAGCCCUCACUCUCAAGGGUCUCUGGGCCCCAACACCUCUGGCACCCCACUUGGGGGAGGGAAGGGCCUGGAUUUCUCACCGUCUCUUGCUCGGACUGUGCAGGAAAGGUCGAGUUUCUCGCGGACUGAGGGGAUGCAGACUGAGUUCCCACAGUGUUAAACAAGCAUCGCUGGGAAUUUUUAAGAACAGCUUUACAGAGGUACAGAUUUACAUAUCCUCACGUUCGACCAUUUCGAUGCAUGAUUCAAUGACGUCACUAACUUUACUGAAACGAGCGCUGUAACCGUCAACGUGGAUGAGACGUUUUUGUAACUUCAUAAAAAUUUUACAACCUGCUUGGCAAUUUCUGUAAAAAAAAAAAAAAAAAAAAAAAAAAAAGGCCUAAUGAAAUUUUGACGGGAAUUGCAUUGAAUCUAUUGAUCGGUUUGGGAAAACUGCUCUUUUAAUAAUGAGCCUUCCCGUCUGCGCACACGGACUGUGCCUGUGUUUCUUUAGAUCUUUGCUUUCCUUCUGCAGAGUUUAGUGAUGUUUCCUCCCCAGAUCUUGUACUUU